GCCUUCGUGGUGUAGUGGUUCUGCACUCUGGGCCAGUAUUCCAGAGGUCCGUGGUUCGAUUCCCGGCGAAGGCG
This 74-nucleotide transfer RNA is filed under the name Stegodyphus dumicola. RNAcentral's name for it is "tRNA-Thr". It matches the Rfam family "tRNA". Rfam says of the family: Transfer RNA (tRNA) molecules are approximately 80 nucleotides in length. Their secondary structure includes four short double-helical elements and three loops (D, anti-codon, and T loops). Lineage: Eukaryota; Metazoa; Arthropoda; Arachnida; Araneae; Eresidae. The record is from RNAcentral.